UUGGGAAUUUUGCGCAAUGGACGAAAGUCUGACGCAGCGACGCCGCGUGGAGGAUGAAGGUUUUCGGAUCGUAAACUCCUUUUAAUGGUGAGUAAUUUGUGAAAGUAGCCAUUGAAUAAGCACCGGCUAACUCCGUGCCAGCAGCCGCGGUAAUACGGAGGGUGCAAACGUUGUCCGGAAUCACUGGGCGUAAAGCGCAUGUAGGUGGUUUUGUAAGUCAUGAAUGAAAGACCGACGCCUAACGUCGGAACCGUUCCUGAUACUGCAUCACUAGAGAAUGGCAGGGGUAUGCGGAACUUUGAGUGUAGGAGUGAAAUCCGUAGAUAUUCAAAGGAACACCAAUGGCGAAGGCAGCAUACUGGGCUUUUUCUGACACUGAGAUGCGAAAGCGUGGGGAGCAAACGGG
RNAcentral lists this ribosomal RNA (406 nucleotides) under uncultured bacterium. Its description in RNAcentral is "bacterial SSU rRNA". It matches the Rfam family "Bacterial small subunit ribosomal RNA", at positions 355 to 776 of the family's 1533-position model. The record is from RNAcentral.